AUAUUGGACAAUGGGGGCAACCCUGAUCCAGCCAUGCCGCGUGUGUGAAGAAGGCCUUUUGGUUGUAAAGCACUUUAAGCAGUGAAGAAGACCUAACGGUUAAUACCCGUUAGCGAUGACAUUAGCUGCAGAAUAAGCACCGGCUAACUCUGUGCCAGCAGCCGCGGUAAUACAGAGGGUGCAAGCGUUAAUCGGAAUUACUGGGCGUAAAGCGAGCGUAGGUGGCUUGAUAAGUCAGAUGUGAAAUCCCCGGGCUUAACCUGGGAACUGCAUCUGAUACUGUUGGGCUAGAGUAGGUGAGAGGGAGGUAGAAUUUCAGGUGUAGCGGUGAAAUGCGUAGAGAUCUGAAGGAAUACCGAUGGCGAAGGCAGCCUCCUGGCAUCAUACUGACACUGAGGUUCGAAAGCGUGGGUAGCAAAC
RNAcentral lists this ribosomal RNA (420 nucleotides) under uncultured bacterium. RNAcentral's name for it is "partial 16S ribosomal RNA". It matches the Rfam family "Bacterial small subunit ribosomal RNA", at positions 361 to 773 of the family's 1533-position model. The record is from RNAcentral.